UACAGAGGGGGCAAGCGUUGUUCGGAAUUACUGGGCGUAAAGGGUCUGUAGGUGGCUUGCUAAGUCAGACGUGAAAUCCCUCGGCUUAACCGGGGAACUGCGUCUGAUACUGGAUGGCUUGAGUUCGGGAGAGGGAUGCGGAAUUCCAGGUGUAGCGGUGAAAUGCGUAGAUAUCUGGAGGAACACCGGUGGCGAAGGCGGCAUCCUGGACCGAUACUGACGCUGAGGAGCGAAAGCCAGGGGAGCGAACGGG
RNAcentral lists this ribosomal RNA (253 nucleotides) under uncultured bacterium. Its description in RNAcentral is "partial 16S ribosomal RNA". It matches the Rfam family "Bacterial small subunit ribosomal RNA", at positions 524 to 776 of the family's 1533-position model. The record is from RNAcentral.